Molecule: small nucleolar RNA, 138 nt
Organism: Tachyglossus aculeatus (Australian echidna)
Lineage: Eukaryota; Metazoa; Chordata; Mammalia; Monotremata; Tachyglossidae
Source: RefSeq, a predicted model, not a curated record
CCCCUCUCAGGAUGGCACCUGGAGAGUUUCCAGGACUCUACCAAUAUCGACUACAGGAGGGAGAGUCAGGCAGAGGCCUAUCCAUUCCAUUCCUAGCUUGGUCAGUGGCUAGUGAGUGGAAAGCAAUCUGCCCCAAGU